This 601-nucleotide ribosomal RNA is filed under the name uncultured bacterium. RNAcentral's name for it is "bacterial SSU rRNA". It matches the Rfam family "Bacterial small subunit ribosomal RNA", at positions 915 to 1533 of the family's 1533-position model. The record is from RNAcentral.
GGGGACCCGCACAAGCGGUGGAUGAUGUGGUUUAAUUCGAUGCAACGCGAAAAACCUUACCUACCCUUGACAUGUCAAGAAUCUUGCAGAGAUGUGAGAGUGCUCGAAAGAGAACUUGAACACAGGUGCUGCAUGGCCGUCGUCAGCUCGUGUCGUGAGAUGUUGGGUUAAGUCCCGCAACGAGCGCAACCCUUGUCAUUAGUUGCUACGAAAGGGCACUCUAAUGAGACUGCCGGUGACAAACCGGAGGAAGGUGGGGAUGACGUCAGGUCCUCAUGGCCCUUAUGGGUAGGGCUACACACGUCAUACAAUGGCCGGUACAGAGGGUUGCCAACCCGCGAGGGGGAGCCAAUCCCAGAAAACCGGUCGUAGUCCGGAUCGCAGUCUGCAACUCGACUGCGUGAAGUCGGAAUCGCUAGUAAUCGCGGAUCAGCUUGCCGCGGUGAAUACGUUCCCGGGUCUUGUACACACCGCCCGUCACACCAUGGGAGCGGGUUCUGCCAGAAGUAGUUAGCCUAACCGCAAGGAGGGCGAUUACCACGGCAGGGUUCGUGACUGGGGUGAAGUCGUAAAAGGUAACCAGUGAUGCGCCGAACGAUUU